RNAcentral lists this non-coding RNA (30 nucleotides) under Mus musculus (house mouse). The record is from RNAcentral. Lineage: Eukaryota; Metazoa; Chordata; Mammalia; Rodentia; Muridae.
UGUCUUGACCACUAAUUGAGAAAAUGCCUU